CAGUCGAGGGGUAGAAGGAGCUUGCUCCUUUGAGACCGGCGCACGGGUGCGUAACGCGUAUGCAAUCUACCUUGUACAGGGGGAUAGCCCAGAGAAAUUUGGAUUAAUACCCCAUAGUGUAAUGAAUAGGCAUCUAUUUAUUACUAAAGUUCCAACGGUACAAGAUGAGCAUGCGUCCCAUUAGCUAGUUGGUGUGGUAACGGCAUACCAAGGCAACGAUGGGUAGGGGUCCUGAGAGGGAGAUCCCCCACACUGGUACUGAGACACGGACCAGACUCCUACGGGAGGCAGCAGUGAGGAAUAUUGGUCAAUGGGCGCAAGCCUGAACCAGCCAUGCCGCGUGCAGGAUGACGGUCCUAUGGAUUGUAAACUGCUUUUGUACAGGAAGAAACACUCCCUCGUGAGGGAGCUUGACGGUACUGUAAGAAUAAGGAUCGGCUAACUCCGUGCCAGCAGCCGCGGUAAUACGGAGGAUCCAAGCGUUAUCCGGAAUCAUUGGGUUUAAAGGGUCCGUAGGCGGUUUUAUAAGUCAGUGGUGAAAUCUGGUCGCUCAACGAUCAAACGGCCAUUGAUACUGUAGAACUUGAAUUAUUGGGAAGUAACUAGAAUAUGUAGUGUAGCGGUGAAAUGCUUAGAGAUUACAUGGAAUACCAAUUGCGAAGGCAGGUUACUACCAAUACAUUGACGCUGAUGGACGAAAGCGUGGGGAGCGAACAGGAUUAGAUACCCUGGUAGUCCACGCCGUAAACGAUGGAUACUAGCUGUUCGGAGCAAUCUGAGUGGCUAAGCGAAAGUGAUAAGUAUCCCACCUGGGGAGUACGAACGCAAGUUUGAAACUCAAAGGAAUUGACGGGGGCCCGCACAAGCGGAGGAGCAUGUGGUUUAAUUCGAUGAUACGCGAGGAACCUUACCAAGGCUUAAAUGGGAAACGACAGGUUUGGAAACAGAUCUUUCUUCGGACGUUUUUCAAGGUGCUGCAUGGUUGUCGUCAGCUCGUGCCGUGAGGUGUCAGGUUAAGUCCUAUAACGAGCGCAACCCCUUGUUGUUAGUUGCCAGCGAGUCAUGUCGGGAACUCUAGCAAGACUGCCAGUGCAA
RNAcentral lists this ribosomal RNA (1095 nucleotides) under Flavobacterium sp. RNAcentral describes it as "bacterial SSU rRNA". It matches the Rfam family "Bacterial small subunit ribosomal RNA", at positions 59 to 1160 of the family's 1533-position model. Lineage: Bacteria; Pseudomonadati; Bacteroidota; Flavobacteriia; Flavobacteriales; Flavobacteriaceae. The record is from RNAcentral.